Molecule: ribosomal RNA, 301 nt
Filed under: uncultured bacterium
Lineage: Bacteria
Description: partial 16S ribosomal RNA
Rfam family: Bacterial small subunit ribosomal RNA
Source: RNAcentral
CAGCCGCCGCGGGAAUACAGAGGAUGCAAGCGCUAUCCGGAAUGAUUGGGCGUAAAGCGUCUGUAGGAGGCUUUUCAAGUCCGCCGUCAAAUCCCAGGGCUCAACCCUGGACAGGCGGUGGAAACUACCAAGCUGGAGUAUGGUAGGGGCAGAGGGAAUUUCCGAUGGAGCGGUGAAAUGCAUUGAGAUCGGAAAGAACACCAACGGUGAAAGCACUCUGCUGGGCCGACACUGACACUGAGAGACGAAAGUUAGGGGAGAAAAUGGGAUUAGAUACCCCCGUAGUCCCUGUCUCUUAUAC